Molecule: non-coding RNA, 2214 nt
Organism: Cricetulus griseus (Chinese hamster)
Lineage: Eukaryota; Metazoa; Chordata; Mammalia; Rodentia; Cricetidae
Source: RefSeq, a predicted model, not a curated record
CAAAAGCAAUUCUUUUGUGUGUGUGAGAUGCUAAACCCACGUCAAAACAGCUUCGGGCUGUAGAAAUGAUUUGGGUUGCGAUUUAACAAGGAAACAGAACCUCCAUCUCUGGAAAGAACACUGACUUAGAAGUAGAUUUCAAGCAGCCUAGGUAUCCAUCAAUUGAUGGAUGAAGAAAGAAAAUAUGCAUAUAUGCACUAAGUAGUGCUACUCAUCCAUGAAGGAUCCUUAACUCCUUCCAUUUGCAGCAAAGUGAGUGAGACUGGAGGACAUAAUGUUAAGUGAAACAAGCCAGACCCAGAAAAAAAGGCACACUAAGGAUUAUCCGGAACCAUCUUCAAAGCAACUGGAGGAACUCCACUCAUGUGUAACAAGAACCAUCCAAGUACCACAGUACAACUACUUUCUUAUUUUAAAAUGUGUGUGUUGUUGUUGUUGUUGUUGUUGUUGCUGCUGCUGCUGCUGCUGCUGUUGUUAGUGCUACAGCUUGUAACUGCCCCAACUCACUGGUGACAGCUCUCUGUAGAGCCUCUCAUUAUUUUAAACCCAGUUUCCAUUAAGACAAAAUGAUUUCUGGAUCUCUAUAUCCAUAUGUUAUAGUUGUAAAUGGAGAAAUAUUUUCCCCCUCAAGGUAAAUAUUCAACAUAAAUCUGGGGUUUGUUUUCUGGGCAAAGGUUUUUCUUUUGCAGCAAGUUCUCUGAUGGUUAUAGCUGAUAGGAAACCUCAAAAUAUUUUGCAUUUAGCUCAGAUAAGCAUCUGUGACUUUGAAUGUUAUUCCAAACUUUUUAAUCCAUAAAUUAAAAAUGUAUGAGCAAAAGGUUUACACCAGAUUUUUGCUCUCAGAUACAAUCAGCCUUAGCAACUGAGCAUGCAAAUGACAAAUGCAGUAUAAAUUUUAUGUAACCUAUAGCCAGGCUAAUGCUUAGGACCAGGUUCUUUUUCCAAAGUUAUUCAUUGAAACAGUGCUACACAGUGCUGUGGUACCUAAGCCAGUCGGUCAGUGCUUGCCAUGGAGCGUCUGAGUCUCCAAAAGUCAGUGGUCCUGGACUCCGCGUAGGAAAACAGUAACAAUAGUAUCUCACUAUUCAGCUCUGUGGUUUUUGUUUAUGUGUUUGUUUGUUUGUGUGUGUGUGUUCUAAGUCAUUUAGCACCAAUCCUAAACCUAUGGUGGGUGCUACUUUCAUCCAGAGUUUACACCUACUAUACAUUCUUUAGGACAGUGUUCUCAACUUCUGGGCCUGGAAAGGGAUGGAGGAGGAUGCAAAGAAGAAACUGUUCAAAACAAAUACAGGUGUAAAGAGAGACAAGGAAAAUAAGGGAUUGGGAAAAGUUAGCUGUGAAGUUGUACUGACCAUUAAUAGCAUGGAUGACCCACCUUAGUUCCUUCCUCUUAUUCCUGGAGUUAUCCUCUGGCCUUCACUAUAAUAUCUUUCUCUCAGAUCUUCAUUUGUUUCAUUUCCUUCUUAUUCUACUAAAGACUACACUACUAAAGGUGAGUUGAAUAAACUGAAGAACAGAAUUAGGUAUAAAUUGGGUUAUUACAAUGGCAAACUAUUCUGUAUUACGAAUGCCUAGGGGGCUUCUGUGGCCACUGAAUAGUCUGCUUUUAAAACCAGGGAAGUCCCUAAGAACUCAGCCAUCUUAGUCCUUCCAUGAAAGCAAAAGACACUCUGUGGAGAUAAACGGAAAGGAAGUAGUAAUUAAAAAGACUACUCUAGGAGCAAAAGCUGUGGGAAACUUGUGGGAGCAGAACUCCAGACACAUGGGAGAGGCUUUGGCUCGCAUUCCAAGUGCACUGAGAGGAUUAAGCACACAUUCCUCUUGUUCAUGUCUCUGUCCACUUUGUAAGUAGUCUGAAGAGAUAUUAAUUCUGACCAAAGCCUAAGUCAAGAGGUGUCCAUAUGUAGAGAGAAUGAAAGCACUUGAUCUGGUAAAAGCAAGUGAAAAUCUACUCCAUUAGAUAUCCAGAUUGCUUGGCACCAUUGUUUGGGUUUUUCUUGUUUUAUGAUUAAGGGAAUAAUAUAGUUAUCAAAUUCAAAUUCAUAUGUAACUAAUAAAUAUUUUUGAGAUGAAUAAAUCUAUAGAUGAUUGGGAAAUGGCUUGAAAUAGCCUAUGGAGACUUAUUCUAUCUACUAUCUACUGUAUUUUGCUUGGUUUUCUAAGGACACAUUUUUUAGUUAUCUUUUGAUUUAUUGUUCUUUUCACCUAAAAAUC